GAUGAACGCUGGCGGCGUGCCUAAUACAUGCAAGUCGAGCGAACGGACGAGAAGCUUGCUUCUCUGAUGUUAGCGGCGGACGGGUGAGUAACACGUGGAUAACCUACCUAUAAGACUGGGAUAACUUCGGGAAACCGGAGCUAAUACCGGAUAAUAUUUUGAACCGCAUGGUUCAAAAGUGAAAGACGGUCUUGCUGUCACUUAUAGAUGGAUCCGCGCUGCAUUAGCUAGUUGGUAAGGUAACGGCUUACCAAGGCAACGAUGCAUAGCCGACCUGAGAGGGUGAUAGGCCACACUGGAACUGAGACACGGUCAAGACUCCUACGGGAGGCAGCAGUAGGGAAUCUUCCGCAAUGGGCGAAAGCCUGACGGAGCAACGCCGCGUGAGUGAUGAAGGUCUUCGGAUCGUAAAACUCUGUUAUUAGGGAAGAACAUAUGUGUAAGUAACUGUGCACAUCUUGACGGUACCUAAUCAGAAAGCCACGGCUAACUACGUG
RNAcentral lists this ribosomal RNA (497 nucleotides) under uncultured bacterium. Its description in RNAcentral is "partial 16S ribosomal RNA". It matches the Rfam family "Bacterial small subunit ribosomal RNA", at positions 28 to 507 of the family's 1533-position model. The record is from RNAcentral.